Oryctolagus cuniculus (rabbit) is the source of this 635-nucleotide non-coding RNA. Lineage: Eukaryota; Metazoa; Chordata; Mammalia; Lagomorpha; Leporidae. The record is from RefSeq and is a predicted model, not a curated record.
AGGUCAGAUGAUCCCUUUAUGAUAAUUUUCCUUCUUGCUGCAAUACAUCUAGAAAUUUCUUGAGUAAAGAAUUGCUAGAGCAGCAACAGACAACUAAUACAUAGCUACCGCAGUUGGCUCUCUGCUCCCGUGGAUUCAACCAACCAAGGAUUGAAAACAUCCAGGGGAGCUGUUCACAACUAUUGCAAGGGUCACUCCUGGACAUGAAAUUGUCACGAGGAAGGAGAAACACAUGGCUGACUCUUAGAACAGAAGGAAGAUUUCUUCGAAGUCAGACAUCUUCUCAUACCAGCAGGAUGGUGCAGGCUGGCCACCCUCAGUAAGUCAGUGACAAGGAGACCAGGGCCACCCUCUCAUUGGUCCAUCCUGCCCUUAGAGCGGAGGGUGGGGUCAGGCUCCACUGCUGGAAUGUGCCAUUAGGACAGAAAGAAGGAAGGAAUUGAUCUUCGGUAACGAAACAGGUGCCAACCACAUCACUCAUCUAAUUUAUUUCUUUAGAUUUCAGAUUGUUAAAGGGAACCCAUGUAAUCUCAAAAUUAAACUCUCCAAUGGACAUUCUUAGUGAAAAUCUUGAAAUGGGUAAUGCCUGAGUGCUAACUCGUUUGCUAAGUGAUUGACAGGGAGUUCUUAGGGCU